This is a long non-coding RNA of Cydia pomonella (codling moth), 3580 nucleotides long. RefSeq lists it as uncharacterized. The record is from RefSeq and is a predicted model, not a curated record. Lineage: Eukaryota; Metazoa; Arthropoda; Insecta; Lepidoptera; Tortricidae. The transcript has 2 exons.
ACCAGGUGCAGGACGAGGCACGGCCGUGGAUCGGCAAGGAGGAGCGCGCCUUCACCGCCAUGCUCAGGCAGCUGGGCGCCAAUGUGAGUACCAGGUGCAGGACGAGGCACGGCCGUGGAUCGGCAAGGAGGAGCGCGCCUUCACCGCCAUGCUCAGGCAGCUGGGCGCCAAUGUGAGUACCAGGUGCAGGACGAGGCACGGCCGUGGAUCGGCAAGGAGGAGCGCGCCUUCACCGCCAUGCUCAGGCAGCUGGGCGCCAAUGUGAGUACCAGGUGCAGGACGAGGCACGGCCGUGGAUCGGCAAGGAGGAGCGCGCCUUCACCGCCAUGCUCAGGCAGCUGGGCGCCAUUGUGAGUACCAGGUGCAGGACGAGGCACGGCCGUGGAUCGGCAAGGAGGAGCGCGCCUUCACCGCCAUGCUCAGGCAGCUGGGCGCCAAUGUCCACCGCUACCUGCACUCGGAUGGUACACCGGUGUCGCUGCUGACGCACUUCAACGUGCUCGGCCACGUGCGCGCCCCGCAAGACUCCGACACCGACGAGACCACCAAAUGAAACAUACCUUACAAACCUUGGUUGCUUAAAGCACAGAGACAUUAUGAAGCAUUUACAAAGAGCGCUAGGUCACCAGAGGCGGCUUUAGGCGUGGGCGACGUGGGCCUCCGCCUACGGCCUCGCGCCUCAAAUAAGUAUAAUAUCUCGGACACAACGUAAAAAUGUUAGUUAUUUCUUGCGCCACCAGAGGCCUCGCUAAAUGUACCUUGCCCACAUAAAAUUUUGCUCUUGCCCCGCCACUGUAGGUCACUACACAUACGUGCAAUUUUACUUGUAAAAUGCUACAACAUCAAAUCAAAUCGAUUUCAGCAGCACAUCUGAGUUAUAUUCUAGACUAUUACUAUAACAACCCAGGUACCUCUCUAACUUAAUGUUUAACAAGCAGAAACAUCUGAGAACGAUGUUAUUAAGCUUAGAAUAAAUAUAAAAGUGGAAAAAAUACUGUCUUUGGUGAGACUUGAACUCACGGGAUCUGAAUCGAUACUCCAGCGCUCUGCCAUCUGAGCCACCAAGACCUCAUCCCUAGGCAGCAAAUUUUUCGAACAUAUGGGUCUAGGGGACCCUAGCGACAUCUACCGUAAGAACGUUACACUUCUUAGACGGCUACCGGAGUUCCAAGUCAUAUUGGAAAUCACCAGUAACGAUGUGCUACCCAUACAUAAAUUUACCUCGCUUAAGUUUGAUCUUUGCUAAUAUUCAUUUACACAAGUACUGGUUGUAAUAAUGGCGCAACUGAUACAGCGGAACACUUGUAUGUUGACCUAGAUUGUUUUAUGUAGUCUGUCUAAUUGUUUAUACGUGUUCUGUGGCUUAAAAGAUAGGGACCGUGCGUGUUGGAGGGUCACGUGUUUUCUUGUGCAUAGUAGGUUCUGCCAUCUUGUGGGCUACAUCGGAACAAUAAACAUCAAAUUUACGCCUCGCGCCAAAAAUCUGACGGCUCCUGUGCUGCCUCCUACAGUUCAUGCACGCUCCCUAUCGGCACCCGCGCGUGUACAAUAUACCUAACUCGAUUUUAGAUGAGCGCUCAAAGCGUGGCCGUUCGACGUUCACACUCGCUUGACACUGUCGUUACCACGCCCAAAAAGUUUGUGGAUUUAGCACGCGUAACCUUUGUCGUAAUUAUUUCCGUUUUUUUUUUGUAUAAAAAAAGACGGAUCCGCUUAGUACAAAAUAUUUACCUCUACCUAAAUUGUGUGUUGUUAUUAUACGUAUGUUUAAAUAAUAAUUUUAUUUUAAUCGAGGUGUGAUAAGAGAAUAUAUUAUAAAGAAUGUUUGUAUUUUAAAGUUCUAAAACCGCCUAAAUGAAACAUAGAUGACGAGUACAUUUAAUUGUACACUACUUGACCUGUUAACAAGGCGGACUAACUUGAUUAUUUAUAUUUUACGGAUAGUUUCCACGGAAAGAGAGGUCGUGGAUGAACCAAUACAUUAUAUGACUCCUCUUUCCGCACAGACCCGACUCGUUUAAACAAAAAAAAAAAAACUUUUUUUAAAGAAAAAAAUAAAAUGACUUUCCAUAAUUAUACCACAGAUUAAAAUCUAAAAAUUCUAAAAGGAUGACAAAUUGAACGUAAUUUAGGUAAAAGGAUCCAAUCUACAAAAAUCUGUCAAUCCAAUUUGAACUUUCUAUCACAAGGAAAAGUCAAUCAUUUAAAUGUCAAAUUUUAGAGGAUUGAUCCUAUGGAAGGUGGAGGUAAGGAAUACAAUCUCCAUAGGCAGAACCGUUGCUACUGUCCAGUUGUCAGCUAUAAAUAAUAGUUCCAAAACUCUCCAGAGUAGCGCUAGAGUAGCUAAGAACCUAGGCGUUAUUGACGGAGUGAAAAGCGCUGUUUAUGAUAUGAUUUUUUUUUUCAGAUAUUCUAGGUAUUGUAGCGCCACCUAUUUAAGGUUUUUUGACGGACACUUUUGGUAUAUGGAGAUUGCAUUCCUUACCUCCACCUUAUCCAUUAUUACCUAACUAUUAAUUGAUUUUGUGACAGGUUUGUAAAUCAAACCCAACUCAGAAUUACCGAUUCUCAUACGUAUAUAUGUAUAAGAAAUAAUUAACAUUUUAUCAAUUAAGAUCAGGUCACGAAGCUCAUUCAAUGUGACAAUUAAUGCUUUUAGGAGCAAAUUGAUUCUAUCGUUAAAAUUAUUUGCAAUACGGUAAUAUCAACGAUUGCCUCCAUCCCAUUUUACUGGCACGGUAAGCAUUGACUAGUAGAUUGUGUCACAAGGGAGCAAAAUUACAUAAUAUUAACGGCGAUUCAAGUGUUUUAAGCCCAAGGUGGACACAAUUUUGCUAUCAUGUGAUGUGGCAAAUACUGCAUUUCACAAUACCUAAGGGGAUAUUAUUACGUUUUAAAAUAUUAUUUAAGCUAAAAAAUAGUACGCACUAAAAAUAGUGUCCUAGAACAGAAAAGUGCCACUUUAAUCCUUCCUAGUAGGGUUGCCAUCUCUAAAAUUUGGAAACCAGGACAAGACGCGUGAAAACCCCGGAUUUUGGAGUCCAGAACCCGGACAUGUCAACAGGUUUUUUUAAAAAGGUUGUGCAUGUGUCGCGGGCGGCCUAGGGAUUUAAAACUGUUAACCCGGACUACAAAUGAAGUCCUGCCCGGACGCCCUCUAAACUAGGACAAAUCCGGGGAAACCCGGACGGAUGGCAACAGUACUUCCUAGCAGGGAAGAAAACCCCUUUUUCCGAAUAAGGUGAUGUGAGAAAUAUAUAGAGAUUGUUGUAAUGCUAAUGUGUAGAAAAACAAACUAGCUGAUCAGUGUACUGUAAGCAAUAAAAAAUUACUCGUAUAAUAAACUUAGUUCGACAACAGGCAGAAACCUGUUUCUCCUGCCGGACAUUAUUUCUAAUAGGUUUCUAACAACGGUCACCGGCUGUCAGUUAUCAACAUAGUUAAUAGCAUAACCGCACAAUUCAUAUUUUAGGGAAAAUCUUUUGCGACAUGUUGUAAAUAUGAUUUAUGUUGGCAUUGAUCUCAUCAAGUAUUAAAUGUAUUUUCAUUGUGAAUAUAAGUAAUAUUUUCACUCAUACAA